This 253-nucleotide ribosomal RNA is filed under the name uncultured bacterium. RNAcentral describes it as "partial 16S ribosomal RNA". It matches the Rfam family "Bacterial small subunit ribosomal RNA", at positions 524 to 776 of the family's 1533-position model. The record is from RNAcentral.
UACGGGGGGGGUAAGCGUUGUUCGGAAUUACUGGGCGUAAAGGGCUCGUAGGCGGCCAACUAAGCCAGACGUGAAAUCCCUCAGCUUAACUGGGGAACUGCGUCUGAUACUGGAUGGCUUGGAUUUGGGAGAGGAAUGCGGAAUUCCAGGUGUAGCGGUGAAAUGCGUAGAUAUCUGGAGGAACACCGGUGGCGAAGGCGGCAUUCUGGACCAAUAUUGACGCUGAGGAGCGAAAGCCAGGGGAGCAAACGGG